UCUAGCAUUAUUAGUAUUAGAGGCACUGCUGCCCAGUGACAUGCGUUUAACGGCCGCGGUACCCUGACCGUGCAAAGGUAGCAUAAUCACUUGUUCUCUAAAUAAGGACUUGUAUGAAUGGCCACACGAGGGUUUAACUGUCUCUUACUUCCAAUCAGUGAAAUUGACCUAUCCGUGAAGAGGCGGAUAUAACCAAAUAAGACGAGAAGACCCUAUGGAGCUUCAAUUUAAUAAUACAAACUAAUAAUUCAAAAACCAAUAGGCAUCAACUCACUGUACAUGUAUUAUAAAUUUUGGUUGGGGUGACCUCGGAGUACAACAUAACCUCCGAAAGACACACACCAAGACUUCACCAGUCUAAGUAAACUCAUUACAUCCAUUGACCCAAUAACUUGAUCAACGGACUAAGUUACCCUAGGGAUAACAGCGCAAUCCUAUUCUAGAGUCCAUAUCGACAAUAGGGUUUACGACCUCGAUGUUGGAUCAAGACAUCCUAAUGGUGCAGCCGCUAUUAAAGGUUCGUUUGUUC
Molecule: ribosomal RNA, 529 nt
Filed under: Lagothrix lagotricha (brown woolly monkey)
Lineage: Eukaryota; Metazoa; Chordata; Mammalia; Primates; Atelidae
Description: partial 16S ribosomal RNA
Rfam family: Bacterial large subunit ribosomal RNA
Source: RNAcentral